GUCCUCUUCAAGUGGAGCCUGUCUCAAUCAUGGAUGGAGAUGCCUUCCAUGGAAGGAACAUGUUAACUGAGAAGCUUGAGCAUUCUGUCCAGGACCAUAAUGGCAAGGAGGUGUUAAACUGCAUAGGCUCAAAUCCUCUUGAUUAUAAUACCCCUUGUCAAGACACUAUAAAGCGUUAUUCAUUAUAUUGUGAUAAACACAUCCCAAGUUGGCUUAAACGUGCAAGGAAUGGUAAAAG
RNAcentral lists this unclassified non-coding RNA (238 nucleotides) under Hevea brasiliensis (rubber tree). The record is from RNAcentral. Lineage: Eukaryota; Viridiplantae; Streptophyta; Magnoliopsida; Malpighiales; Euphorbiaceae.